AGUGAACGCUGGCGGUAGGCCUAACACAUGCAAGUCGAACGGCAGCACAGUAAGAGCUUGCUCUUACGGGUGGCGAGUGGCGGACGGGUGAGGAAUACAUCGGAAUCUACUUUUUCGGGGGGGUUAAGGUAGGGAAACUUACGCUAAUACCGCAUACGACCUACGGGUGAAAGCAGGGGAUAUUCGGACCUUGCGCGAUUGAAUGAGCCGAUGUCGGAUUAGCUAGUUGGCGGGGUAAAGGCCAACCAAGGCGACGAUCCGUAGCUGGUCUGAGAGGAUGAUCAGCCACACUGGAACGUAGACACGGUCCAGACUCCUACGGGAGGCAGCAGUGGGGAAUAUUGGACAAUGGGCGCAAGCCUGAUCCAGCCAUACCGCGUGGGUGAAGAAGGCCUUCGGGUUGUAAAGCCCUUUUGUUGGGAAAGAAAAGCAGCAGGUUAAUACCCCGCUGUUCUGACGGUACCCAAAGAAUAAGCACCGGCUAACUUCGUG
Molecule: ribosomal RNA, 492 nt
Filed under: uncultured bacterium
Lineage: Bacteria
Description: partial 16S ribosomal RNA
Rfam family: Bacterial small subunit ribosomal RNA
Source: RNAcentral